UCAUUACUGAGAGAGGGGCUUCGCGCUCCCGGGGAUCUCGGCCCCCAACUCUUCACCCUGUGUGUACCUACCUUUGUUGCUUUGGCGGACCUUGGGGGUCCCCUCCGCACCGGCUUUCGAGUCGGUGAGUGUCCGUCAGAGUCCUAUUUAAAUUCUGUUUAUCAGUGCCGUCCGAGUAUAAACUAUAAAUUAAGUAAAAACUUUCAACAACGGAUCUCUUGGUUCCAGCAUCGAUGAAGAACGCAGCGAAAUGCGAUAAGUAAUGUGAAUUGCAGAAUUCAGUGAAUCAUCGAAUCUUUGAACGCACAUUGCGCCCCUCGGUAUUCCGGGGGGCAUGCCUGUUCGAGCGUCAUUACACCCCUCAAGCUUAGCUUGGUAUUGGGUACUCGUCCCCGUGGCGUGCCCGAAAAGCAGUGGCGGUCCGGCGUGACUUUAAGCGUAGUAAAUAUCAAUCCCGCUUUGAAAGCUUGCGUCGUGGCUCGCCAGACAACCCUACGUAUAAUCACGUAUCUUCAAUAAUUGACCUCGGAUCAGGUAGGGAUACCCGCUGAA
Molecule: ribosomal RNA, 552 nt
Filed under: Parmotrema reticulatum
Lineage: Eukaryota; Fungi; Ascomycota; Lecanoromycetes; Lecanorales; Parmeliaceae
Description: eukaryotic LSU rRNA
Rfam family: 5.8S ribosomal RNA (bases 199-352)
Source: RNAcentral